This 1641-nucleotide long non-coding RNA is filed under the name Marmota monax (woodchuck). Lineage: Eukaryota; Metazoa; Chordata; Mammalia; Rodentia; Sciuridae. The record is from RNAcentral.
GAAUCAUUUCCACAUGUUAUACUCUUGCUCCUUAGCGCGGGAUGUGCACACCAGCAGCCACUGACUCACCAGGUGCUCAUGAGAAAUGCAGAAUCGCAGCUCUACCAGCCAUAGAAUCAAACAGGUUCUCCAGUUGGUCCGGAUGCACAUUAAACUUUGAAAAAUACUAUGUUCCAUCAUGUGAUGCUGACAACAUAAUCUGAAUUUCCUAAGCAGGGUCCUGAGAUGGUCUGUGAUUGUCUGUGGGAUCAGAGCAUCAAGAAUGGCUAUGAAACUGAACUGGAUUUCCCCCUCCUUCACCUACCCACGCCGGAGUCAGCCCAGACUGCUGAGAACCUAGCUCACCACGCAGUCACGUUUCUAAAGUACCUGCUUCCAGGAAGUUGUGAUCUAUCUCGUGUGUGCCAUCUACCAGCAACCUGCUUUCUCACCUCAUAUGAUCUCUCAUGGGGCACGCUGUGCUUUGACACAGGUGCUGGAUGUCACCAGCUGAAGUUCUUCAAGAUUGUCUCCCCACUGUCUCCUGGCCCCAGUGUAGUACUCGAGGCUCUCCACCUUGUAUUUUUUUAAAAGCUUUUAACCCUGUCCUGAUGGAAGAAGCUUAGAAAUGCUUUCUUAAUCCAAAAGAAUCAUUCAGCAAAUAUCCUUUUGAAGGUUCCAUUUCAGGAAAUUAGGACAAAGACAGAGACAAUUAAAAUGUCAUUCAGAGUCGAUCCAGUUGAGGUCAACACAUCACAUCCUCAAACUAAUGAAGCAGGAACGUACAGAGCUGAUAGCCCCUUGCCUCAAAAGUGAUUCCUGUGCUUUAAAACAGUAAAACAAAAAUCCUGGUAGAAUUUUCUUAAGCAUAGCAAUUCAGUACAGUUUCUUAUUCUCAAGAGAGUUUAAAUAAAUUUGUGUAGUAAGAACUUGAAAUUAAGGAAAUUACCUAAAGUAAGAGGUUUAGUUUUUCUUAAAAAGGAUCACAGAACUUGGGCUAGUGUUGUGGUUCACUGGUAGAGCGCUAGUCUAGCGUGUGCAAGGCCCUGAGUUCGAUGCUCAGCACCACAUAAAAAUAAAUAAAUGAAAUAAAGAUAUAUAUAUCUCCACAGAACUUGAUGGCUUUUGCUGGUGUCCAGCUCCUUGGCCAUCCGGUGGGGCCUUUGGUGUAAGAAACUAUGUAGGGGGGAGUCAAAAGCAGGGACUGCAUCAGAGUAGAGGCUCCGUUUUCAAACAGGGACCAUCUCUGCAGGAGCAAGAGGAGUGUGGGGCAUUCCCCAUCCUUCUCAGCUCCUGUGCAUAUAGAUGUCCCCUUUAGAGACAGAGCUAAGAGCAUGGGGACAGGGCUGCAUUUGAGGAGGCCAGUGGUGAUGUUCAUGGGUCCCAGUAGUCCUCUCUGGGAAUGUGCCAGUGGCUCAUCCCUGUUGGUGUGCAUUUCCAGCUGCCAGAGGAUGGUGAGUUGACCCAUGCGGAAGAGGCUGAGCCAGGGACUACCUUUCCACCACCAGGGACUGAGGCCUUCAUGGGAGCUCGCCCACUUUCCUCCUUGAUGGAGAUUACCCUUGGGCUCUGGAGGGGCCACCUUCCAACUGUCUCCAUCUGUCGGAGAGCCUGUGGUCAUGAUGGAAGAGUCAAGGUUGAUUCCAGUGCCCUCGGCCCGAC